AACGAACGCUGGCGGCAUGCCUAACACAUGCAAGUCGAACGAGACCUUCGGGUCUAGUGGCGCACGGGUGCGUAACGCGUGGGAAUCUGCCCUUAGGUUCGGAAUAACUUCGGGAAACUGAAGCUAAUACCGGAUGAUGACGUAAGUCCAAAGAUUUAUCGCCUAAGGAUGAGCCCGCGUUGGAUUAGCUAGUUGGUGAGGUAAAGGCUCACCAAGGCGACGAUCCAUAGCUGGUCUGAGAGGAUGAUCAGCCACACUGGGACUGAGACACGGCCCAGACUCCUACGGGAGGCAGCAGU
RNAcentral lists this ribosomal RNA (299 nucleotides) under uncultured bacterium. RNAcentral describes it as "partial 16S ribosomal RNA". It matches the Rfam family "Bacterial small subunit ribosomal RNA", at positions 29 to 355 of the family's 1533-position model. The record is from RNAcentral.